RNAcentral lists this transfer RNA (73 nucleotides) under Ephemerocybe angulata. Its description in RNAcentral is "Coprinellus angulatus tRNA-Thr". It matches the Rfam family "tRNA". Rfam says of the family: Transfer RNA (tRNA) molecules are approximately 80 nucleotides in length. Their secondary structure includes four short double-helical elements and three loops (D, anti-codon, and T loops). Further hydrogen bonds mediate the characteristic L-shaped molecular structure. tRNAs have two regions of fundamental functional importance: the anti-codon, which is responsible for specific mRNA codon recognition, and the 3' end, to which the tRNAs corresponding amino acid is attached (by aminoacyl-tRNA synthetases). tRNAs cope with the degeneracy of the genetic code in two manners: having more than one tRNA (with a specific anti-codon) for a particular amino acid; and 'wobble' base-pairing, i.e. permitting non-standard base-pairing at the 3rd anti-codon position. Lineage: Eukaryota; Fungi; Basidiomycota; Agaricomycetes; Agaricales; Psathyrellaceae. The record is from RNAcentral.
UCCCUCUUAGCUCAGUUGGUAGAGCGCGUCACUAGUAAUGACGAGGUCAGUCGUUCAAAUCGGCUAGCGGAAU